GAGGGUAUAGCUCAGUGGUAGAGCACAUACUUAGAAUUCAUGAGAUCCUGGGUUCCAUCCCCAGUACUCCCA
This 72-nucleotide transfer RNA is filed under the name Camelus bactrianus (Bactrian camel). It matches the Rfam family "tRNA". Rfam says of the family: Transfer RNA (tRNA) molecules are approximately 80 nucleotides in length. Their secondary structure includes four short double-helical elements and three loops (D, anti-codon, and T loops). RNAcentral also lists the same sequence under 1 other name. The record is from Rfam by way of RNAcentral. Lineage: Eukaryota; Metazoa; Chordata; Mammalia; Artiodactyla; Camelidae.